AGGGCACCACCAGGAGUGGAGCCUGCGGCUUAAUUUGACUCAACACGGGAAAACUCACCCGGCCCGGACACUGGAAGGAUUGACAGAUUGAGAGCUCUUUCUUGAUUCAGUGGGUGGUGGUGCAUGGCCGUUCUUAGUUGGUGGAGUGAUUUGUCUGGUUAAUUCCGAUAACGAACGAGACUCUAGCCUACUAAAUAGAUCGUCGGCUUACAAACGCCGGCGAGACUUCUUAGAGGGACAGGCGGUGAUUCAACCACACGAAACAGAGCAAUAACAGGUCUGUGAUGCCCUUAGAUGUCCGGGGCCGCACGCGCGCUACACUGAAGUGAUCAGCGUGCUUUUUCGACCUACUCUGUCAAGAGUGGGGAACCCAAUGAACCUUCUUCGUGAUUGGGAUAGGGGAUUGUAAUUAUUCCCCUUGAACGAGGAAUUCCCAGUAAGCGCGAGUCAUAAGCUCGCGUUGAUUACGUCCCUGCCCUUUGUACACACCGCCCGUCGCUACUACCGAUUGAAUGUUUU
Molecule: ribosomal RNA, 519 nt
Filed under: uncultured eukaryote
Lineage: Eukaryota
Description: SSU rRNA
Rfam family: Eukaryotic small subunit ribosomal RNA
Source: RNAcentral